This 243-nucleotide long non-coding RNA is filed under the name Mytilus galloprovincialis (Mediterranean mussel). The record is from RNAcentral. Lineage: Eukaryota; Metazoa; Mollusca; Bivalvia; Mytilida; Mytilidae.
ACUUUUGACCCCAAUUUCAUGGUCCACUGAACAUAGAAAAUGACAGUGCAUGUUUCAGGUUAAAGUUUUUGGUCAAGGUAGUUUUUGAUGAAGUUGAAGUCCAAUCAACUUGAAACUUAGUACACAUGUUCUCUAUGAUAUUAUCUUUCUAAUUUUAAUGCCUAAUUAUAUUUUUUAUCCAAUUUCAUGGUCCAUUGAACAUGGAAAAUAAUAGUGCGAGUGGGGCAUCCGUGUACUUUGGAC